Molecule: long non-coding RNA, 787 nt
Filed under: Pan troglodytes (chimpanzee)
Lineage: Eukaryota; Metazoa; Chordata; Mammalia; Primates; Hominidae
Description: long non-coding RNA NONPTRT005625
Source: RNAcentral
GUAUAUACAGACCCAUGUUUUCUACUUGCUUUUUGUUGUUGUUCAGAGAAGGAUCACUGGGUCUGGGGCAAUCAGAGAAGACCUCAUGAGGACUGGAAAAUCUUAUUUCUUGAAGUUCAAGCUCAAGUAUCAACAAGGAAGAAAAUGCCAAAUAGAAGGAAUGAUAUGAGCGAAGGAGGUGUGAAGGACAAGUUCCAUGACAGCAAGAACUUCAUUUCAUUCACUGCUCUGUCCUCAGUGCCUAGUUCAGUGCCUGACACAUUGCAGCUUCUAGAUAAAAAGUAAAGAAGUAUUCAAAGAUUGAUACAGACGUGUCAAAAGGACUUGGGAGCCAGCUUGAAGGGAGUUUCGCCGGCCAAAUUUGGAAAAUUUGACCUUUGAAAUAAAUAAUGAUAGUGAUGAUUUACAAUCCAUUGGAUAAAAUGAGAAUCUAUGAGGCCUUAAAGAUAUAAAUAAACAAGUGGGUGAGAAGGGAAAGCCCUUCCUUACAGUGAAUGCCAACUAAUAAAGGUAGAUAGGAUGACAGAAAUGGGAGAUUAUAGAUCUUCUUCUAUGAUGUGGCAACCAUGAUAGAGGAAGAUAUCAAUAAUUGCUAAGGAUGGUGGGUAAAGGUUCAGUGAGGAACAGGAUAUUGGUACAAUGCCAGAAUAUCUCCCUACAAAAUACUCAUUAAUCACAAUGGAAAAAACAGUGGCUUUUUGGAGGAGAAAUAUGACAGAAACCAACCCGACAAAGUGGUCAAGAUAACACCAAGGGAAGAAUCUAUAUUCUGCAUCAGGAAGAGCAC